GCUGGCUUAGCUCAAUUGGUAGAGCAACUGAUUUGUAAUCAGUAGGUUGCGGGUUCAAGUCCCAUAGCCAGCACCA
Molecule: transfer RNA, 76 nt
Filed under: Pseudobdellovibrionaceae bacterium
Lineage: Bacteria; Pseudomonadati; Bdellovibrionota; Bdellovibrionia; Bdellovibrionales; Pseudobdellovibrionaceae
Description: tRNA-Thr
Rfam family: tRNA
About the family: Transfer RNA (tRNA) molecules are approximately 80 nucleotides in length. Their secondary structure includes four short double-helical elements and three loops (D, anti-codon, and T loops).
Source: RNAcentral